Rhagoletis zephyria (snowberry fruit fly) is the source of this 669-nucleotide long non-coding RNA. RefSeq lists it as uncharacterized. The record is from RefSeq and is a predicted model, not a curated record. Lineage: Eukaryota; Metazoa; Arthropoda; Insecta; Diptera; Tephritidae.
AUUCUUGCGAGCACUGGUCAGUGAAUUUUAGAUGUUUGCGAAGUUUUGAGGUUUGGUGUGCUGUUAUUGAGUUAGCACAGCAUACAAACAUAAAAAACAUAUCGUUUCCCUUGGAUACUUUUCGCAGUAGCCAUUACCCAUAACCCUGCGAAUACACCUUCUGCAAAGGGACAACAGUAUACUAAAAGCGAAAGAGGUGUUUCUUCUCCUUCAGUAUUCUCCUACUGUUGAUUGCGGGAUCAGAAUUGGCGAGCAGAUAAGCAAUUCCAAAACAUCCUCCACGUUUCUAGUUUUACUCUGUUUCAUCAACUCAUGCAGUUCCUGAUAGGAAAUUUUAAUUUAUUCCAUAAUUCUUGACUGUCAAAAUUAUAAUUAUAUAUUCUGAUGUAAUAUUCGAACCAUUAAAACACUUAUAUGAAAAACGCAUCAGAAAGCAAUUGAAUGUAGUAAAUGAAGGGAAACCACACAAUAAAAACAAUACAAAUAAGCGCGCAAUAACGGAUUAUUUCACCCACCUACCUAGACGUAAAAACAAAGGGGGAGAGAGAGAGAGCGAAAGAGAGAGAAUAAAAUAGUAAAACAACAGAGAGAGAGAAAGGUACCACCACAAGCUAAAAGAAAACACUAUAUAAAGACGGACACACAUGCGGACUAAUUAGUGACAAAAAA